This is a long non-coding RNA of Gallus gallus (chicken), 817 nucleotides long. RefSeq lists it as uncharacterized. The record is from RefSeq and is a predicted model, not a curated record. NCBI's taxonomy places the organism in Eukaryota, Metazoa, Chordata, Aves, Galliformes, Phasianidae. The transcript has 4 exons.
CCUCCCCAAAAACAUGAGACACUCCAGAAACCAAAUGUGUGGUAGACCUCUGCUGGAGGCAGUACUGUGAGGGAUUAUGGGGCUACGAUAUGGCUUCUAAUAUAAAAACAAAUGAAAGACUUAUACUUGAAAUUUUGCCAAGGAAAACAACUUUAUGAGCUUCUAUUACUCUCCAUUCCUAAAGAAGGAAUGACAGCUCCACUGAUAGCACCUCUAAAGUGAACAGCAGGUGUAUGGUCACAGUGCCCAGCAGGAAUGGCUUAGAAUUGGGCUGACUUCAAUUUGGGAGCUGUUUUGCUGAACACUGACCCCAAGCAAGUUUCAUCCCUCCUCCCCUCCUGCCUGAUUUUACAAGAUAGAUGAACACAGUCCAUUCUGCUGGAACUGGCUGCUCUUUGCAAGUAGAUGAAGUGAAGAUUUAUUAUCAUUAGAACACAUGGAAAUUGGAAAAUGGACUAAUGGAAACCAUUAAUGUCCUCCUCUCAACAAUCAGAUGAAUGGUGGAUCAAUGCAGUAUAUUAAUGGAUUGGAAAUGAUUUAAGACAAUAUAAACAUUAAGUCCCAGAUAUUAGAUGGGAAGAAAGCAAGCAAGACUAAGAUAUUACUCUAUUAUAUAUAUACGAAAAAAAUAAAAUACCAUCCUCUAAGAUGUAUUUCCUGUCCAGCAUUUUGAUUUCUUUGCAGAGGUAAUAUUGAAAAACUGUACUGUAUCUUUCCAUAUUACCACCUAACAUUGAAAUGAAUGUCUUUCCACUUACAAAAGCAAAUAAUAUUGUAAGCCUGUAACAACAAAUAAAUUCUGUGUCACGUAUUCUGC